RNAcentral lists this long non-coding RNA (4803 nucleotides) under Homo sapiens (human). Its description in RNAcentral is "HSALNT0109980". The record is from RNAcentral. Lineage: Eukaryota; Metazoa; Chordata; Mammalia; Primates; Hominidae.
UUAUUUUAAUCAGCCAUGCUUACUAAGGUAAAUCUCUUAAACAUUUUGACCUUUAUGUCGUCAGAAAAAUAAACUAAAUGAAAUCAAUAUGCCUUUCACAACUAACCAUUUUCAAUGCUGUAACUUAAGUUGAAAGAGAAUUGUCUUUCAAAUUAUGAACAAUAUUGAGGCUCAAAUUUAAUUGCCAUUUACUAUGAGCAAAAGACCUGAACAAUCAUCAACAAAGAAGAUAUACAAAUGGUAAUUAAUCACAUUGGAAGAAGUUCAGUACCAGAUGUCAUUAGAAAACUACAAAUUUAAAUAAUGAGAUAGUACUGCCUGCCUAUUAGAACAGCCAAAAUGCAACACAAUGACAACAGCAAAUGCUGAUAAGGAUGUAGAGCAACAAGAGCUCUCAUUCAUUGCUGGUAGAAAUGCAAAAUGGCAUAGCCACUUUGAAAAAUAAAUAGAUCAUUUCUUAGAAAAUUGAACAUUCUCUUACCAUUUGAUUCACCAACUGUACUCCUUGGUGUUUAUCCAAAUGAAUUGAAAAAUUAUGUCCACACAAAAAUCUGCACACAAAUGUUUAUAGCAACUUUAUUCAUAAUUGCCAAGACUUUCAAGCACCUGAGAUGUUCUUCAGCAAGUGGAAGGAUAAUGAAACUGUGGUAUGUCUGGAUAAAGAAAUAAUACUCAGUGAUAAAAAAAAUAGCUUAUCAAGCCUUGAAAUUACAUGUAAGAAAUGCAUAUUCCUUAACUAUAUAUGAUUAAGUGAAAGAAGCAAGUCUGAAAAUUCUACACGCUGUAUGAUUCCUACUCUAUGACGUUCUGGAAAAGUCAAAAGUAUGGAAAAAGCAAAAAGAUCUGUGGUUUCCAAGCAUUGUGGGGAGGGAGGAAUAAAUAGGCAGAGCACAAAGGAUUUUUAGGGCACUGAAAGUAGUCUGUAUGAUACCACAAUGGUGGGCACAUCACAUUAUACGUUUGUCAAACCCAUAGAAUGGAUGAUUCCGAGAGUGGACUAUGGAUUUGGGGUGAUAAACAUGUGUCUAUGUAUGUUCAAAGGUUGUAACAAGUGUGCCACUGUGGUGCAGGAUGUAGCUAGUGUAAGAGGUUGUGUGCAUAGGUAGAGAUGGCUACAUUGGAACGCUGUAUUUUCUGCUCAUUUUUCCUAUGAACUUAAAAUUGCUCUAAAAAUGAAGUUUAUUGAUUUAAAAACAUCAGUAACACUUGACUAUUAAAUAUAAAAUUGUAUAAAAGUAAUAAUAUCUGCUGUUGAUUAUGUUGUAUGGACAUUGGAAUAUGUAUACACUAUUUUUUGGAGUAUAAAUUGGUACAUUAUUUCUGGCAGUAUAUUUGGCAAAUAACAGUGAGCAUUUUAAAGUGACUACUCUUUGCCAGGCAUUGAUAUAGUCUCUUUACGUGUAUUAAUUGAUUUAAUUGUUUAAAAAUUAUUCUGAGGUAGCAAAUAUGUUUAUUCCCAUUUUGCAGAUGAGAAAGUGGAGGCAUAGGAUGGUUAAGUAACUUGCCUUAGGUUACAGAGAUAUUAAGUGUCAACUCCAAUUUCAGUCGAAGUGGUCUAAAGCUAAAGGCUAUGGUUUUAACACUUAAUUAUAAACUACUUCGAAUAUAGGUAAUAAAAAUAUACAAUACACAUGUCAUUUGAACUAGCAGUCCUUUAAGGAAAGAGAGGAUUGGGUGAAGACCUACGCACAAAUAUGUUCAUGGGGUAUUACUUAAAAGAUCAAGUUAUUGGAAACAACCUAAAUGAUCUACAAAAGGAGAUGGUUACAAAUAACUUUACAUCCUUCAAAUAAAAUGCUGUGGAGAUAUUAAAUAUCAUUCUACGAUAGUUGAAAAUGUAGAGAUAUAUUCAUGAUAUGCUUUUAAGAGAAAAUUGCAGGUUAUUGCACAUUAGGUACUGUGUAAGCCUAAUUUUGUAUGUGUCUAUGCUCAAAUGUUAACUGUGAUAAUCCUAGGAAGCUAGAAUUGUUAGUUAUAUUUUUCUUUUCUGUUGCUGUAUUUUUGAGAUUCUUUAGACACUUACUGCUUUUGUAUCAGAAUAAAAUAUUAAUUGAAAAUUUUCAAUAAAGGCAGAUCAUGUUUUCCAAUUUCUGAUAAGAAGCCUUAAAAAUAGUGUUUAUUUAUCCAUAGUUAUGCCCCUUUUCAAUGCAUUUUUAAAUAGAUUAACAAAUUAGAGAAAAAUGACACAUUGUAGCCUAGUACAAAAAACAAAACAAAACAAAGCAUUCUGCCUAUUCAAUGAAAUUUCUGACCACAGAGUGACAGAAUGCUGAUCAUGGUUUGGUUUAUCCCCUAAGGAUGCUGCCCCUACCAGAUAGUGAGUUUUCAGUGAGAGUUUGGGAUACCUAAUGUGCAAACUUCAUUUUGAAAAUAGAAGCAAUGUGGAGAAACAAAGUGAAUAAAGCUAAAUAUUGCUGGUUCCAUUUUAUGCUUAUAGCAAAACCCUUGGAUUCUCAAUUGAUACACCAUUAAUUUUAGUAACAUUAUGGAUCAAAAAGAGUCAUUUGUAUAUCUCUGUCCUGAAAGCCAGUGGUAAAUUGCAAAAGUGAUCAUUAAAGGAUUAAAAUAUGUUGCUAUAGCAACUUCUUAUCAUAUAAGAAGUGUUAGUACAACUAGGGUAUACCAGAAAUGGGUUAGAAAUGGUCUGUGAUUUUAAAAAGUAGGCUUUUUUUUUUUGCACUUUAGGAUUAGUGUGUUACAGAUAUUUUAUUACAUUGAAAUAUAAAGAAAAGAAAAAUAUAUACCUUUUUGUUAUAAUUCUGAAACGUGACCACCUACAUAUUUAUUGGAACUUUAAUUUUGUAAGUGCAAUGGGACAAUGUCUUGCAAAUACAUUUUAUUCAGUAAAUAAAUAAAUUGGGGAGGUUCAACAUGAAGCAUGAUUUAAUGCUUAAUGACUUAUUUUUCUAGUUCUAGUUAUAUAUAAUAAGGAAGGAGGAAAAAUAAAUACAUAAUGAAUGCUUUUCAACUUCCACUGUUGCUUUUGCUACUAUGACCAGAGACUACUUAAUGCCCAGGCUCUACCCUCCUGUGUUUGCUCCCCGACCUUUGUUCAAUUCUAUCGUCUGGUACUAUCUUUCUCUUGCUUUGGGGCCCUUAUUAUUAGGCCUUAGUCUUUGUUUGUAUGAGGUUUUAGAGUUAGUCUUGAGCACUGAGUCUGUAUUAACAUGCACAGAAUGCAUAAAUAUACUCUGCACAAUAUGAUCUGUGCCUAGCUGAUGCUGCAGACCCCUGCCUUCCUUAUCUGCAUGCUCAUUACCUCUAUGUGUGUAGAUAUCUGAGGCCCCACAUCGUUUCUGCAAUAUCAGUGCUAUUUCUGGCUGAUUUUGAUAAUGAGAGGGAUGUUUAAAUUAUUCUCUGGCUGAAAGUGUCUUUAUUCAGUUGUUCAACAAAUUUGUAUUGUGUCUAGUAUGUGUUAGGUUGCAGUGAAGAAAACAGAUGUUAUCUGAACUCAAAAGGAUUAAAAUCUAGUGAUGAAUAAGGAAAUAAACAUAUGAUAAGUACUUUUUUGAAGUUAUAUAAAGAAAAAUAUUAAGUGAUAGAGAAGGAAAUGUGAUACCUAUUUAACCAAAGUAGUAGGGAAAGACUUUGUUCAGAAAUAAUUUUAAACUGAGGCUUGAAGGAUAAAGAGCCAGCUAUGAAAAUAGCGAAAGAGAGAAAAAUCUCCCAGACAGAAGAUACUGCAUGUGCCAAGGUCCUGAGUUGGGAAAAAGCUUGGCAUAUACAUUGGAGGAAGAGAAUGGAAGCUGCUUUCUAAGUAAGAGUAAAAUGGGAGAAAAGUGGGACACAAUAAGGUAGGAGGGCUAGAUACAGACAAAUCCAUUCGAGGAAUUUAGGAUUUGAUUUGGGAUGUGAAGGGAGGGCAGGGACAGAUUUAGGUAGGUAAAUGAUUUGAACAGAUUUAAGUUUUUGUUGUUGUUAUUGUUUUGUUUUUGAGAUGGAGUCUCGUUCUGUUGCCCAUACUGGAGUGCAGUGGCGCAAUCUUGGCUCACUGCAACCUCUGCCUCCCGGGUUCAAGUAAUUCCCCUGCCUCACCUCUCAAGUAGCUGGGAUUACAGGCACACACCACCACGCCUGGCUAAUUUUUUUUUUUUUGUAUUUUUAUUAGAGACGGGGUUUCACCGUGUUGGCCAGACUCUUCUCGAACUCCUGACAUCAGGCAAUCAGCUCGCCUCAGCCUCCCAAAGUGCUGGGAUUACAGAUAUGAGCGACCACGCCCGGCCAGAUUUAAGUUUUUAAAAGAUUAUUCUGAAGCAGUGUGGAGAAUACACUGGAGGAAACCGGGAAGUUCCAUGUGAAGGUUACUGUGAUACCCUAGGUGAGCAGCGUUGGAGAAUUGGAUGAGAACACAAGAGGAGAGACAGACAGUAAUAGAGUCAAGAAAUAUAAAGCAGAAUAAUAAAGCUUGCUGAUGGAUUGGAGAACAUUCUUAGCGUAUGACCCGGGCAUAGGGUACCGGUUAAGUUCUCCAUUCUGGAAAGAUGAGACGAAAGAUUCACUGUUGCAGAGUCUGUCUAAGGUAUGAGUGUCCCCUCUCUGGGACAGAUUCCACUGCCAUUCUUCCGACCACAAGAAGGAAACUUCAGACACCAAAGAAGAGGCACCAGUCAACUAAUUAAACGGGAGGAUUUUUUUCUAUAAAAUAUAAAAUUAUAUGAGUUUAAGUUUUCUUAGUUUCUGUUUUCUUCUACCAGUUCUAAUAGUUUAAAAGUUGUGUAUUUUAUUUAUAUUCCAGUAGUUACUCAUAAAACAUUACCUAACAUACUAAAAUUAUUGUUUCCUAUUAAUUAUAGAACAUUUUAU